GGCGGCAGGCCUAACACAUGCAAGUCGAGCGCGCCUUCGGGCGAGCGGCGGACGGGUUAGUAACGCGUGGGAACGUGCCCAGAUCUACGGAAUAGCCACUGGAAACGGUGAGUAAUACCGUAUACGCCCUUCGGGGGAAAGAUUUAUCGGAUUUGGAUCGGCCCGCGUUAGAUUAGGUAGUUGGUGGGGUAACGGCCUACCAAGCCUACGAUCUAUAGCUGGUUUUAGAGGAUGAUCAGCAACACUGGGACUGAGACACGGCCCAGACUCCUACGGGAGGCAGCAGUGGGGAAUCUUGGACAAUGGGGGCAACCCUGAUCCAGCCAUGCCGCGUGAGUGAAGAAGGCCCUAGGGUCGUAAAACUCUUUCGCCUGUGAUGAUAAUGACAGUAGCAGGUAAAGAAACCCCGGCUAACUCCGUGCCAGCAGCCGCGGUAAUACGGAGGGGGUUAGCGUUGUUCGGAAUUACUGGGCGUAAAGCGCACGUAGGCGGAUUAGAAAGUUAGAGGUGAAAUCCCGGGGCUCAACCCCGGAACUGCCUUUAAAACUACUAGUCUAGAGUUCGAGAGAGGUGAGUGGAAUUCCGAGUGUAGAGGUGAAAUUCGUAGAUAUUCGGAGGAACACCAGUGGCGAAGGCGGCUCACUGGCUCGAUACUGACGCUGAGGUGCGAAAGUGUGGGGAGC
This 683-nucleotide ribosomal RNA is filed under the name uncultured Ruegeria sp. Its description in RNAcentral is "bacterial SSU rRNA". It matches the Rfam family "Bacterial small subunit ribosomal RNA", at positions 38 to 769 of the family's 1533-position model. The record is from RNAcentral. Lineage: Bacteria; Pseudomonadati; Pseudomonadota; Alphaproteobacteria; Rhodobacterales; Roseobacteraceae.